CUGGGUGAAGGCCUAAUGUUAGGGCACUGGGUGAAGGGCUCUGGGUGAAGGACUAAUGUUAGGGCUCUGGGUGAAGGACUAAUGUUAGGGCUCUGGGUGAAGGACUAAUGUUAGGGGAGUGGGUGAAGGGCUCUGGGUGAAGGGCUAAUGUUAGGGGAGUAAGUGAAGGCCUAAAGUGAGGGGGGUGGGUGAAGGCCUAAAGUUAGGGAAGUGGGUGAAGGCCUAAAGUUAGGGGAGUGGGUGAAGGGCUCUGGGUGAAGGGCUCUGGGUGAAGGACUCUGGGUGAAGGGCACUGAUUGAAGGGCACUGAUUGAAGGACUAAAGUUAGGGGAGUGGGUGAAGGCCUAAAGUUAGGACUCUGGAUAGGGGCUUGUGAGUUUGUUAGUCUCUGAUUGGUGGUGCCCGUGCG
Molecule: long non-coding RNA, 409 nt
Organism: Clupea harengus (Atlantic herring)
Lineage: Eukaryota; Metazoa; Chordata; Actinopteri; Clupeiformes; Clupeidae
Source: Ensembl